RNAcentral lists this ribosomal RNA (427 nucleotides) under uncultured Acidobacterium sp. RNAcentral describes it as "bacterial SSU rRNA". It matches the Rfam family "Bacterial small subunit ribosomal RNA", at positions 959 to 1385 of the family's 1533-position model. The record is from RNAcentral. Lineage: Bacteria; Pseudomonadati; Acidobacteriota; Terriglobia; Terriglobales; Acidobacteriaceae.
ACGCGAAGAACCUUACCUGGACUCGAAAUUUUGUUGACAGUCUCAGAGAUGAGAUCUUCCCGCAAGGGACAGCAGAAUAGGUGCUGCAUGGCUGUCGUCAGCUCGUGUCGUGAGAUGUUGGGUUAAGUCCCGCAACGAGCGCAACCCUCAUCCUUAGUUGCUCGUCCGCAAGGAAAGCACCCUAAGGGAACCGCCUCGGAUAACGGGGAGGAAGGUGGGGAUGACGUCAAGUCCUCAUGGCCUUUAUGCCCAGGGCUACACACGUGCUACAAUGGCCGGUACAAACCGUCGCUAACCCGCGAGGGGGAGCCAAUCGGAAAAAACCGGUCUCAGUUCGGAUUGCAGGCUGCAACUCGCCUGCAUGAAGCUGGAAUCGCUAGUAAUCACGUAUCAGAACGACGUGGUGAAUACGUUCCCGGGCCUUGUA